This 96-nucleotide transfer RNA is filed under the name Methylomagnum ishizawai. Its description in RNAcentral is "tRNA-Pro". The record is from RNAcentral. Lineage: Bacteria; Pseudomonadati; Pseudomonadota; Gammaproteobacteria; Methylococcales; Methylococcaceae.
UGGCCGGUGGCGGGCGCGGCGACCACCACCGGAUAGGCGGCGGUGUCGGCAUCGACCACGAAACCGGCGGCGCUGUUGGAUUCCGCGCCCGCCACC